AAAUGCGAUAAGUAGUGUGAAUUGCAGAAUUCAGUGAAUCAUCGAAUCUUUGAACACACAUUGCGCCCCUUGGUAUUCCAUGGGGCAUGCCUGUUCGAGCGUCAUUUGUACCCUCAAGCUCUGCUUGGUGUUGGGUGUUUGUCCCGUCUCCGCGCGUGGACUCGCCCCAAAGUGAUUGGCAGCCGGCGUACUGGUCCCGGAGCGCAGCACAUGUCGCGCAAACGAGUGCCUUGGUACGGCGGCGUCCAUAAGCCCCUCUCUCACGCUCUUGACCUCGGAUCAGGUAGGGAUACCCGCUGAACUUAAGC
RNAcentral lists this unclassified non-coding RNA (308 nucleotides) under plant metagenome. RNAcentral describes it as "partial contains 5.8S ribosomal RNA, internal transcribed spacer 2, and large subunit ribosomal RNA". The stretch from base 1 to 104 matches the Rfam family "5.8S ribosomal RNA", at positions 51 to 154 of the family's 154-position model. The record is from RNAcentral.